GGGAAUGGCUUUAGCUGAGUGGUAGAGCAUCUGCUUUGCACGAGAAGGUCUCAGGUUCAAGCCCUGGCAUCUCCA
Non-coding RNA from Podarcis lilfordi (Lilford's wall lizard), 75 nucleotides. The record is from the annotation of a GenBank genome assembly. Lineage: Eukaryota; Metazoa; Chordata; Lepidosauria; Squamata; Lacertidae.